Molecule: ribosomal RNA, 467 nt
Filed under: uncultured bacterium
Lineage: Bacteria
Description: partial 16S ribosomal RNA
Rfam family: Bacterial small subunit ribosomal RNA
Source: RNAcentral
ACGAACGCUGGCGGCGUGCUUAACACAUGCAAGUCGAACGGAAAGGCCCUGCUUUUGUGGGGUGCUCGAGUGGCGAACGGGUGAGUAACACGUGAGUAACCUGCCCUUGACUUUGGGAUAACUUCAGGAAACUGGGGCUAAUACCGGAUAGGAGCUCCUGCUGCAUGGUGGGGGUUAGAAAGUUUCGGCGGUUGGGGAUGGACUCGCGGCUUAUCAGCUUGUUGGUGGGGUAGCGGCUUACCAAGGCUUUGACGGGUAGCCGGCCUGAGAGGGUGACCGGCCACAUUGGGACUGAGAUACGGCCCAGACUCCUACGGGAGGCAGCAGUGGGGAAUAUUGCACAAUGGGCGGAAGCCUGAUGCAGCAACGCCGCGUGCGGGAUGACGGCCUUCGGGUUGUAAACCGCUUUCGCCUGUGACGAAGCGUGAGUGACGGUAAUGGGUAAAGAAGCACCGGCUAACUACGUG